AGCGAACGCUGGCGGCAGGCCUAACACAUGCAAGUCGAACGAACUCUUCGGAGUUGUGGCGGACGGGUGAGUAACACGUGGGAACGUGCCUUUUGGUUCGGAAUAACUCAGGGAAACUUGUGCUAAUACCGAAUGUGCCCUUCGGGGGAAAGAUUUAUCGCCAUUAGAGCGGCCCGCGUCUGAUUAGCUAGUUGGUGAGGUAACGGCUCACCAAGGCGACGAUCAGUAGCUGGUCUGAGAGGAUGACCAGCCACACUGGGACUGAGACACGGCCCAGACUCCUACGGGAGGCAGCAGUGGGGAAUCUUGCGCAAUGGGCGAAAGCCUGACGCAGCCAUGCCGCGUGAAUGAUGAAGGUCCUAGGAUUGUAAAAUUCUUUCACCGGGGACGAUAAUGACGGUACCCGGAGAAGAAGCCCCGGCUAACUUCGUG
RNAcentral lists this ribosomal RNA (432 nucleotides) under uncultured bacterium. RNAcentral describes it as "partial 16S ribosomal RNA". It matches the Rfam family "Bacterial small subunit ribosomal RNA", at positions 29 to 507 of the family's 1533-position model. The record is from RNAcentral.